Molecule: non-coding RNA, 26 nt
Filed under: Mus musculus (house mouse)
Lineage: Eukaryota; Metazoa; Chordata; Mammalia; Rodentia; Muridae
Source: RNAcentral
UGCUGAGGUCCUGUGAAGUGCCGAGG